GUUUGAACCCAAUCCCAGUGCGUCAUUCUGCGCAGCUAUUUCAUUGUAAACGGACAAUCUUUUCUCCUCCAGUUUUUGAGCAUUUUCUGUCACCCUGAUUGUAUUUCCUGUUGAAUGUUUCUGCCCAUCAGAUAUGGGUCUCGCAGGCUGACUAGUGACAUCCCUUGAAACCUUGCUAGCCUCUGGAGAAGCAGUCAUCACUGACUCAGAUGACUUCUUAUCUGACGCAGCUGCAGCUUCUUUUGCUGCUUUUCUCUCAGCUUCCAGCGCAGCAGCUUUU
Molecule: unclassified non-coding RNA, 280 nt
Filed under: Hevea brasiliensis (rubber tree)
Lineage: Eukaryota; Viridiplantae; Streptophyta; Magnoliopsida; Malpighiales; Euphorbiaceae
Source: RNAcentral